RNAcentral lists this ribosomal RNA (119 nucleotides) under Pteropus alecto (black flying fox). The record is from RNAcentral. Lineage: Eukaryota; Metazoa; Chordata; Mammalia; Chiroptera; Pteropodidae.
UACUACGGCCAUGCCGCCCUGAACAAGCCCUAUUGUGUCUGAUCUCGGAAGUUAAGCAGGGUCGGGCCUGGUUAGUCUUUGGAUGGGAGACCACCUAGGAAGACCAAGUGCUAUAGGCG